Molecule: long non-coding RNA, 2159 nt
Organism: Oreochromis niloticus (Nile tilapia)
Lineage: Eukaryota; Metazoa; Chordata; Actinopteri; Cichliformes; Cichlidae
Exons: 3
Source: RefSeq, a predicted model, not a curated record
CAAAGAGGAAAAUCAAAAACCCCAUUAAACCCUAAACUCAAAUAUUUAAUUAAAUACAAAUACUUUGUUUUUAAAGUAAAGAAAACACAUAUUCUCCCCUUUAGCAGGAAGUGGUGGUGUGGUCCAAUUAGCCCUCUUUGUAUUUAAUGGUUUCAAACCCUGGCUACCAGCUUUUCUCCAGCAACUCCCAGGGAUGAUGGCAGGUAAGAAAUAAAAAGACAAAGGUUAGUCAAAAAUCAAAGUAAUGAAGUGGUAUGAAUACAUAAGUAAACUAAAUGUGCGCGCUUACAAAUAGAACAAAUGUAUCCAAACCAAUCAAUAAAGUUAUUGGAAACUAAAGUGUGUUACUAUGUUCAAAUGAAAAAAUGAAGAGUUACUGACUUUAAAGUGUGGCCACGGGUUUGGCCAUCACAACUGCCAGACUCUGUAAUACUGUAAAUGAUCAGUGACUCAGGUUAACACUAAACUUUAAACGGUCCCUCUGUGUCUCUGUGUGUGCUGAACAUUUAGGAUUGAGUCAGGCUGCAUUGACUGUGGGACUUUUCUGUGUUAAAAGCAGGUUGAAGACGGCUCAGAAACAUUUGAAGAUUAAAAUUUACAUUUAUUUAUUAAUUAAUUAAUUUAUGGCUGCUGGUGGUUUGUAAAGCUUCUACUCAGCUGUAUUUUUGUUACUAAUUUAUGUUUGUUGUUGUUUAACACAGAUUUCAGAAGAGCGAAGAUGAGCACUGUUGCUUCAUCCUUAAUAGUUUAACUGGAUUGGAAAUCAAAAAAAUCCUGAUUCUUCAUCCACAGAAGUUUCAUUUGUCAGUGUCGGACUGCUGAGUCACCUGAAGAACUCAUUUCAUUCUCCACGAUGUUGAUUUACAGAAAUGUUUCACAGGAACUGAUUCCUCCCAAAGAUUGAACUAGUGUGUUUCCAUAGAUUAUCUCUGUAUGAAUGUACUUCAUAAAUGAAGGCAAGUGUUUGUCCUUUUAGUUCCUCAGGUACAGUACGUGAUAUUCAGGGCAGGCGGUCAACACUGGGGGAAGACAAGAAGCAGACGUACUUCCCAGAGGGAGCUGCAGUGAGGACACAGCCUGUCACUGAGGUCAGAGGAGGCGCUGGAAGGUUUCCCUAAUAGUUCCUGGUGAAUCAAAGCAGAACCAUAAAGGUUGCUGGACUGCAUGAUGGCCUUACCCCUGAGCAGUCAUCCUGUUAAAGGAGGAACCAGUUAGAAGCUGUUUUCAAAGUAGCUGAGCAGAUUUCAUCUCAACAGACAAAGAAGAUGUUUGGAGAAGAACUUCAGGCUGUGGACUGACAAGGUAUUUUUUUCUUGUUAUCAAAAGACAUUUGGAGUGACGGCUUCUACAACUGUGCUGAUGUGAAGCUUACUGCCUAAGAAGUCACAGUGUUGAUAUUCAGCACAAAGAGAAAAUCUCACUUGUUUGAAUUUAUUUACAAACAUCAUAGUUUUAUAAAUUCUGACUGUAAACAGCUUUUACAGCUUUGAUAUUGUUUGACACUCGAUAUCAGGUAUUUUUUAUAUUGAUACACUGACCAGUGUCACUUUAACUGUAACACCUUCAUUAUUUAGAUCCAACAUUUCUAAGAGAAAUAACUGAAUGUAAAAAAUGGCAGCCCUCAGGCCAGGUUUAAUUGAUAGAGAUUAUGAAAUUUAUGUAUCCCGGAUCAUUGUUAUUCAUCUAGUCCUGGCAGACUCACCCCUUCCUCCCAAGAUAACUGCAACCCAAAAGAAGUAGUGGGGGUAUUUACACACUCACAACCAGUGUGGGGUAGAAAGAGCCACCAAAAACCUGUCAGCCUGCACAGCUACAGAUGUGCUAAAAGCUAUAAGACUUGGAAGCUCUGCUUAUGGAGAAACUUUCUAAGCCUAACAGGGGACAGGUACUCCUGCCCAAAUAACAUGAUAUAACCCCACAUACAGCCCAGCCAUAAAGUGAACCAAGUCAUUUAGUUAAAGACAGUAUGGGACCAAAUGCAUCUAUCCAGCCUGCGCCAACCUGGCAUUUCUUCCUCCUGAAUUAAAUGAAUGAAUGGAUGAAAUUCAAAUGACUAUAAACCUAAAGCCACUAGUUCCCACACUGGAGUUCCUUGACACUGUGUUAACUGUACUGUAACAGGCUAAGCUACCUGAGAGACUGCACUGAACGAUUGUUUC